GACGUGAAAUAUGUUGUAUUGAGUCUCGUCUCCGUAUCUUCUAGCAUAAUGAAGUAACGAGUUAGAAAACAUGAACAAACUAACCCAUCAUUGUUGAAUGAAUAUAACAGGUCAGCACGGUGUAUGAAUCUUACUCUGAUGAGCUGAAACUUAACUAUACCUAGCUGAAUCCAGCUCCAACAAGGAAAGCCCAGUCCAACCAUCAUUUUUGAGAUGAAUCCAAGCUGUAUAUAUUUAUUGAGCUUGUAACGAAAGGUUCUCUUAGAAGCCUCUAUCAGAGGUACACUCUUCGAGAUUCCCAAGUAUCUGCCUAUACAAGACAGAUUCUGCAUGGUUUGAAAUAUCUUCAUGAUCAAAAUGUGGUUCACAGGGAUAUCAAAUGUGCAAAUAUAUUGGUGCAUGCCAGCGGAUCUGUCAAACUUGCAGACUUUGGGUUAGCAAAGGCAACCAAAUUGAAUGAUGUUAAAUCUGCAAGGGGACAACAUUCUGGAUGGCCCCUGAGGUU
Long non-coding RNA from Medicago truncatula (barrel medic), 505 nucleotides. RefSeq lists it as uncharacterized. NCBI's taxonomy places the organism in Eukaryota, Viridiplantae, Streptophyta, Magnoliopsida, Fabales, Fabaceae. The transcript has 4 exons. The record is from RefSeq and is a predicted model, not a curated record.